Molecule: ribosomal RNA, 587 nt
Filed under: Sonderopelta coriacea
Lineage: Eukaryota; Rhodophyta; Florideophyceae; Peyssonneliales; Peyssonneliaceae
Description: eukaryotic LSU rRNA
Rfam family: Eukaryotic large subunit ribosomal RNA
Source: RNAcentral
AUCAAAAGCACUUUGAAAAGAGGGUGAAAAGAACCUGAAACCGUCAUGGGGGAAGCGGAUUGCGUUGAAUUGGUGGCUGUGUGUGUGUUCAGCUUGUAAUAUUUUUUCAGGUGCAUUGGCACGUACGGUUACUCACUGUGGGCUCUUGUUGGACGAUUUUGGGUCCGACGGGGGCUGAGGGAUCCUCUUUUAUGGGUGAGGACAGUGAGGUAGUGACGCGAUACGACCCGUCUUGAAACACGGACCAAGGAGUCUAGCGCGGCUGCGAGUCGAAGGGUGGAAAAACCUGAAGGCGCAGUGAAAGCAAAUAUAUUUUGAAACUGAUUUUAUUGAGCAAGUUGAGGCGGCAUAAGGUUGUUAACCUUAGGUCCGACCCAGAGCAGUUGCGCUGGGACCCGAAAGAUGGUGAACUAUGCCGGAGUAGGGCAAAGCCAGAGGAAACUCUGGUGGAGGCUCGUAGCGGUGCUGACGUGCAAAUCGCUCGUCCAACUUGGGUAUAGGGGCGAAAGACUAAUCGAACCAUCUAGUAGCUGGUUCCCUCCGAAGUUUCUCUCAGGAUAGCGGGCCGACGAUGUGUUGUUUUGUGC